UGUGGCUAGCUGCAGCAGCCCUUCUCUCAAAACUUUUCAGUUUCCGGCCACCCCACAAGCAAAACCUUCCACCAGGCCCCAAACCAUGGCCGAUCAUCGGCAACCUAAAUCUCAUUGGCCAUCUCCCCCACCUGUCCCUCCACAAACUGUCCCAAAAAUAUGGACAAAUAAUGCAGCUUCAAUUCGGGUCUUUCCCAGUUGUAGUGGCCUCGUCUCCUGAAAUGGCAAAGCAGUUCUUAAAGACAAACGAUCACCUCUUUGCCUCUAGGCCUCAGACUGCUGCUGGCAAGUACACUGCUUAUAACUACUCCAACAUCACCUGGGCACCUUACGGUCCAUACUGGCGCCAGGGGCGUAAAAUCUACCACACAGAGCUGUUCAGUUGGAAAAGGCUCGAGUCUUAUGAAUAUAUUCAGGUCGAAGAAAGGCGGGCUUUCAUCUCCCGUCUCUAUGCAUUGUCAGGAAAGCCAGUCAUGCUUAAAGAACAUCUCUCUCGCGUUACUCUCAGCGUUAUAAGUAGAAUUGUACUGGGGGAGAAGUACUUCAAUGAGUCUGAAUCCGGGAGGUCAAUAGUCACGGUGAAAGAGUUCCAGGAGAUGCUGGAUGAGUUGUUCUUGCUUAAUGGUGUGUUGAAUAUUGGGGAUUGGAUACCGUGGAUUGCGUUCUUGGACUUGCAGGGGUAUGUGAAGAGGAUGAAGGUUUUGCGUGAUAAAUUUGACCGGUUUCAUGAUCAUGUGCUUGAGAAACACAGGGCCAGGAGAGAAGUAGGGGACUUUGUGGUUAAGGAUAUGGUGGAUAUGCUUCUGAGAUUGGCUGAUGAUCCCGAUCUUCAAGUUAAGCUCACUACUGAUGGGAUCAAAGGGUUUACACAGGUUACUGUUAUAUGAGUUCAUGAACAUAUCCAACCAUUCCAAUUAGGCCUAUUCUAUUGAAAUCUCAUGAUAAUUUUGCUUGUUUUGUUGUUUCAUGGUCAGGACCUAAUAGCUGGUGGUACAGAUACCUCAGCUACUACUCUGGAAUGGGCGAUGUCCGAGGUCUUGAGGCAGCCAAACAUAGCUAACAAGGCAACCGAAGAGCUGGAUAGAGUUAUAGGGAGAAAUAGAUGGGUGGAAGAGAAAGACAUUCCCCAACUUCCUUACAUAGAUGCAAUUGUGAAGGAGACAAUGAGGCUACACCCUGUUGCUGUCCUGCUUGCCCCUCACCUGGCUCUUCAUGACUGCAAUGUAGCUGGCUAUGAUAUUCGCAAAGGAACCCGAGUCCUAAUAAACACAUGGAGCAUAGGGCGGGACCCCAAUCUAUGGGAUGCACCUGAGGAAUUUCGCCCAGAGAGGUUCCUAGGGAAGGCAAUUGAUGUGAAGGGGCAAAACUUCGAGCUGCUGCCAUUUGGUUCAGGGCGGAGGAUGUGUCCUGGCUACAGCCUUGGCCUAAAGAUGAUUCGAUCCAGCUUGGCUAACAUGUUGCAUGGAUUCCACUGGAAAUUGCCUGGGGAUAUGAAGGCAGAAGAGCUGAACAUGGAGGAAGUUUUUGGACUGGCAACUCCAAGGAAGGUCCCACUUGUUGCUGUCAUGGAGCCUAGACUCCCAAGUCAUCUUUACUAGUCGUGCCUUAGACCUAUGUUUUCUUAAUAUUAUUCAGUUGUGUGCAAUGGUUUUAGUCUGUUAAUUCUAUUUCUCCUGUUCUCUAUCCAUGAAUGCAUUAGUGGCUUGCUCAAUUGAUAACAAACCUUACAAAAAUGAGGUUACUGAUGUUAAUAAAAGAUACAACUAAUGCCAAACUUUUCAAUUGUGUUGACGGUGUAUAUGUCACAAAUGAUCUCAUUUCUUAGGAUUUCAUUUUCUUUUCUCAUGUGGGGGAGGCAGCCAUGAAUCAGUCAGUUGCUUCAUUGUUAAUCAAAGGAAAAUGAGGCGAAUGUGAAAGAAUUGAUUCAGAUAACUGAAAUGUUCUUCUCAUAAGUAUUUGUUGUCACCUCGCGUAUCCGAUGGUCCACGUUGCUGCUAUAUGGAUGGACACGUGAUUCUCAACACACAAGGGGUUCUUGACUCAGUGGUUGCACCUGCAAAAGGCAUCCGGACAGGGUGUCCGGACGCACCCUUCGAUGGUUUUAUUAGCCAUGGUGAGAAAGAGAGAUAUAUAAAUCAGUUGGCCUUUUUCUAGGUAUCAAGAGGUUACCAGGAGAUCUCCCUUUCUUCUUCGUGCGAAAGUAUAUAUAUCCAGCUUCAGGGGUACUGUUCCUCUCAUUAAUGGUGAGGAGAUCUUUUCUGUUGUGAUGAUGACAAUAGGUGUUAGUAGGAACAUUAUCAUCCUAUGAAUGGCUGUCAGAGACUAUGGUAGGUGAUGCGGCCGUCAGAGAUCGUGGGAAGCGAUUAUGCAGAAUGAUCGUGGGAAGUGACUUGCUGUCACUUCCUCUUGUCUUCUCAUUCUGCAGGUGAUGGGAUGUGGGCCAUGGCUACUUGUUGUGAUUGCGUGUAAGACUCGCUUUACUUUAAUUGACCAUCCAGAAGAUUUAUAUCCGGAUGGCUCAUGCUGACUAUCCGGAUGUGUUGUGGAGACUAUCCGGAUGUGUACGCUCUGCCAGCGUCGUUUGCUCUUCCUUGGAUAGGAGAAGAUGAAACGUCGUUUGCCUUUCCUUGAGGCGGUCCGGAUAGGAUAACUGCACCAUGCAUAUCCUUAGGGGAAUCCGGAUGAUGAUGGUCCGACUGAUAACACGUGCCACGCGUCACUAUGAGCUGCGUGCCACGUGUUUCCCAAGGGGAGGGGUCCCUACAUUGCCCCCCUUUUUAACUUGCCUAUUUUGCCUAAAAAAUGGGCGGGUUAAAAAUAACUGGCUUUUGAAAACUGAAGAAGUCCCUUCGUCUGACUGGGCCACGUGGCGAGUGGGGGUGCGGAAGCCAAAAAGGCAUUUAUGACGAGCCGCCGACCCUGCGUAUCCCCAGACAAUAUGUCGUUUCAAUGAUAACAUGGCUGUUGGUUUGGCUUUCCGAGGGGCUGUCCUGCUAUAAAUAGGGUACUGUACCUCUUUUUGUAUUUUUUCCUACUGCAUUCUCUUGAGAGUCUUUCUUCUUACUGCUUUUUCUACGCCCUUUGCUUUUCUGAGAAAAAAACUCCGAAAGCUCUUUUGUACCAGUGCUUUUGUAUCGCGACUUUGUUGGUUUGCUGCUGGUGAUUUUGUAUCAAGGCGGUACCCGUUCUUCUUCUUCGGUGCUGUAUUUGGUACGUAUCUCUUUGCUACUGCCGUUCCUUUGGUUGCGUUUGCUGGUUCUUUACACUUGUUUUCUGGCUUGCUUGGGCAUUGUUUUGGACGAGUCGUUUGCAAUUGUUGUUGAAUGUUGGUACUUUGUUGUUGUUUGGAGGGGUUUUUGAGGGGUUUUUCUGACGGCUUUGAGUUAGGGUUUGUGUAUUUUCUGAUUGCUUGGUCUGAACCGUUUGCAUUGUUUUUGCGUAUAGAUUUUGCUUUGGCUUUGUGGUAAGAAAUGGCUCCAAAAAAGACUGUUUCGUCUGUCCGGGUCAGCGAGGCUGGCGAAAAGGCGAUAGAUAAACUAAAUGCGAAGGAGUUUCGGGAGCGAUUCCGCAUCCCCCAUGACGUAUUGAUAGACCUGGUGAACGAGGAGGCGGCUAUGCCUACUGAGAAAGGUGGAAAAAACGCUAUCCUCUUCACAAAGGAACAAUUCAACGCGGGGCUCCGGUUUCCUCUGCCANNNNNNNNNNNNNNNNNNNNNNNNNNNNNNNNNNNNNNNNNNNNNNNNNNNNNNNNNNNNNNNNNNNNNNNNNNNNNNNNNNNNNNNNNNNNNNNNNNNNCUUGAGGCGGUCCGGAUAGGAUAUCUGCACCAUGCAUAUCCUUAGGGGAAUUCGGAUAAUGAUGGUCCGUAUCCGGAUGUGUUGUGGAGACUAUCCGGAUGUGUACGCUCUGCCAGCGUCGUUUGCUCUUCCUUGGAUAGGAGAAGAUGAAACGUCGUUUGCCUUUCCUUGAGGCGGUCCGGAUAGGAUAUCUGCACCAUGCAUAUCCUUAGGGGAAUCCGGAUAAUGAUGGUCCGGCUGAUAACACGUGCCACGCGUCACUAUGAGCUGCGUGCCACGUGUUUCCCAAGGGGAGGGGUCCCUACAUUGCCCCCCUUUUUAACUUGCCUAUUUUGCCUAAAAAAUGGGCGGGUUAAAAAUAACUGGCUUUUGAAAACUGAAGAAGUCCCUUCGUCUGACUGGGCCAUGUGGAGAGUGGGGGUGCGGAAGCCAAAAAGGCAUUUAUGACGAGCCGCCGACCCUGCGUAUCCCCAGACAAUAUGUCGUUUCAAUGAUAACAUGGCUGUUGGUUUGGCUUUCCGAGGGGCUGUCCUGCUAUAAAUAGGGUACUGUACCUCUUUUUGUAUUUUUUCCUACUGCAUUCUCUUGAGAGUCUUUCUUCUUACUGCUUUUUCUACGCCCUUUGCUUUUCUGAGAAAAAAAACUCCGAAAGCUCUUUUGUACCAGUGCUUUUGCAUCGCGACUUUGUUGGUUUGCUGCUGGUGAUUUUGUAUCAAGGCGGUACCCGUUCUUCUUCUUCGGUGCUAUAUUUGGUACGCAUCUCUUUGCUACUGCCGUUCCUUUGGUUGCGUUUGCUGGUUCUUUACACUUGUUUUCUGGCUUGCUUGGGCAUUGUUUUGGACGAGUCGUUUGCAAUUGUUGUUGAAUGUUGGUACUUUGCUGUUGUUUGGAGGGGUUUUUGAGGGGUUUUUCUGACGGCUUUGAGUUAGGGUUUGUGUAUUUUCUGAUUGCUUGGUCUGAACCGUUUGCAUUGUUUUUGCGUGUAGAUUUUGCUUUGGCUUUGUGGUAAGAAAUGGCUCCAAAAAAGACUGUUUCGUCUGUCCGGGUCAGCGAGGCUGGCGAAAAGGCGAUAGAUAAACUAAAUGCGAAGGAGUUCCGGGAGCGAUUCCGCAUCCCCCAUGACGUAUUGAUAGACCUGGUGAACGAGGAGGCGGCUAUGCCUACUGAGAAAGGUGGAAAAAACGCUAUCCUCUUCACAAAGGAACAAUUCAACGCGGGGCUCCGGUUCCCUCUGCCAGCCUUGUUCAAGGAAUUCCUCCACUUCUCUCAGAUUCCACCCAUCUUCAUUCAUCCCAACCUUGUCCGGGUGCUGAUGGGAUGCAACAUUAUCAACAUGCUGUACAGCCUCGACCUUACGCUACUGGAAUUGUUCUUUGUCUAUUCCCUGAAGAAAGCAAAGAAUGAUAUCUUCAGUGUGUCCGCUCACCUGCCUUCCCUUCAAAUGGUGACAGAACUGCCAGAUUCGACAAAGGGAGGGGUGAAGGGGCUGGUAGCAGUCUGGGGUGGAUGGGCGGGGCUAUCGUAGCAUCCGUCGAGGCCUUUUUCUCCGAAUUAUAGCUUAAAAAUUCCGGGUAAUCUUGUUUUGCGAUUUUUUAUCCGGAUUUUGCUUUGCUGAUUUUUUCUGAUUUUUCCGGACAGAAUUCUCACCUUUUGUUGCUGACAAUGCAGGUUUGGAAUUGAGGGGCCACCUUGUGGAUUGGGUGGAAAAGGCGUCAUUUGCCUGCGUCUGCAAAUUAUUUGAAAUAGACCCCAAGGAGAGGGCCUACAAAACAUUGCUUUCCGCGCGGAAUUUGACAGAGGUCGUCCGGGAGCCCCAGGAAUAUGUUAUCAAUAUUCUUCCUAGGAAACUGGCAAAGGAUGAGAUAGUGCCUGGGGAGCAUUAUACAGUGAAGGAGCUCCCCCUCUAUCAGGAAGCUAAAGAGGCUGACGCUGAAAGGCGGCGAAAGCUCCUGGAGGAUAGAGAUCAGAAAAAAACUGAAGGCACUAUCCGGAAGGCUCCCGGACAGAAGGGGGGGCCGGACCCUCCUUCAAAGAAAAUUCCAGGCAAGAGGGAGAAGCUAGUGAAGAAGCAUGGGAAGGAUGUGAAGGAACCCACUCCUCCCAAAGAGUUCCCUCCUCCCCAAACUACCUAUGAGAGGGAAGUAAUGAUAGAGGAUCCAGUAAAUGCUGCUCCGCACUCUAUCUCAAGCGGCCCCGGACGCAUGUCGGGGUUGAAUCACUCAGGUCCUUUCUUGGUCGCGGCUGCGCGUCUGGCUAACGUGGCUGAGGAAGCUGCAUCUAUCAACCGUCCGGGCAACCUUAAUCCGGAUGCUGAUGCAGCUGAAACGGCCCCGUUGGAGGAAGCGGGAGCAGAAAGCCAAAGUCAGCCUUCCGACGAUCCGGAUCGCCUGGCUAUAGUCCUGGUGAAAGGGCCUCCCCUCAAGAAGCCGCGUUUGACGCGCGAUCUACAGUCCGGACUCUUUGAGCGGCUUCAAGAGCGGCAGCAAGAGAUUGAAAUUAGCUGCGCUUCUGCCCAUGACGCUCAUCCGGAUGGAGGCGAGGUGGAGAUGGCUACUGAGACCUCAGCCGCUCCGGCAAUAAUUCCGGCUGAGGAUGCAUCCGGACCUAUGUGCCCGGACGAAAAUAUGGGGGCUCCGAUUCCGGGACACGAGCUACCCUCUCCUUCCUCAUCCGAGGAGGAAUCUGCUGAUGAUGCCGCUCCCGCUAGCCCUUUCAGCUACGCGGAGUUGGAAGCUAAGUUAAAGCAGAUUACUCCUGACUGGAAAGCCAUCAAGCCCUCUGCUAAGAUGUUUGAUAUGAUAGAAACGGUACACCGUUGUCUUGUGUUUUUGCUUUUUGACUUUUUGUUGCACUGAUGUGUUUGUUGUAGUAUGAUUUAUGUUUUUGCUUUUCUUGUUUGUGUGUUAGCUGGUGAGGGGCCUCCGCAGCAUGUCUCAACAACACGCUCUUUAUACUCAGCUGCUGCAGACCGCAGACUAUAUGAGGACCUUCUCCUCUCGGCACCAAGAGAUUGAAAAUCAACUGCGUCUGAGAAUGGAGGAGGCUGAGGCCAGUCUAUCCACCAUGCGAGAGGAAAAUGAAGCCUUUCGGGUGGAGUUGGCUGAGGCAAAGGGUCGAGAAGAAUCAACUGCGGGCCGUCUUCAUGAGGCGGAGGGUGAGGCAGCCCGGCUAAGGGAUGAAUUGAGUCGACUCCGGACAGAAGUUUUGAAUGAAAAGAAACAGAAGGAAGACUUGCAGCUGCGUCUGGAUGUGCAAAAAGAGGAACUUGAACGGGAGUUUGCUGUGGAAAGGGAGGAACUUGCAGCGGAUUACCAGAGACAAGUGGAUGAUACAUUUAUCUUUGGGUAUCGCUGCUGCAUGAAGAAGAACGGUAUAAAGCGAGAUACCCCUUCAAUUCCUCCAAGUGAAGAAAAGAAGCUCCAUGAGAAACCUGCUCCCUGAUAGUUUAUCUCUUCUUGCAAUUUUUCUGCUGUAAUUUUUCCUUCUGCAUAUUUUUGUGGUCCGGAUGUCUCUUUGUAAUUUACAUUUACUCAUAUCAAUAAAACUUACUUCUUUCUCAUUUGCACUUGUGUACACUUUCUACUGAUAAUACUGCUUUAAAUUAAACACAUUCCAUGGUCUGAGUAACGGAGUGCCAUCUAGCUUUUGUAAAUGAUAGGCUCCAUUUUCAUUUGCCUUAGACACUAUGUAGGGUCCUUCCCAAUUGGCUUGGAAUUUUCCUGCGCCUACUUCAACAGUAUUUUCAAAAACUUUUCUAAGUACUAGCGUACCAUUUUUGAAGUUUCUGGGCCUGACUUUUCGAUUGUAAUGCGCUGAUGCUCUUUGUUGAUAAUCUGCCAUCCGGAUGGAUGCGCUUUCUCUGACUUCGUCUGCCCAGUCCAAAUUUCUUCCUAGUUCCGUGUCGGCGUCUUUUUGCUUUGCUGCAUCAGUUCGGAUAGUAGGAAGACCUAUUUCAGUGGGAAUGACUGCAUCCAUUCCAUAUGUGAGGGCAAAAGGAGUAUUUCCUGUUGGUCGUCCGGGUGUGGUUCGAUAGGCCCACAGGACGCCGGGUAGUUCCUCCACCCACUUCCCUUUGGCUUGCUCCAGCCUUUUCUUCAAGGCAUUGACUAGAGUUUUGUUUGUGGCUUCCGCCUGGCCAUUGCUUUGAGGAUAACGUGGCGUGGAGUAUGAAUUCCGGAUAUUCAAUUCCGAACAGAAAUUCCUGAAUGCAAUGCUGUCAAAUUGUGGACCGUUGUCAGCUAUGAUGAUUUGGGGAAUCCCAAAGCGGCAAACAAUGUUCUUCCAUACGAACUUGGUAACAUCUUUAUCUUUGAUGCUUGCAUAUGCUUCAGCUUCUACCCAUUUACUGAAGUAAUCAGUGGCGACAAGAAGGAAUUUCUUUUGGGCGGGUGCUGCUGGGAGGGGUCCCACUAUGUCCAUGCCCCACUGCGCGAAAGGCCAUGGGCCUGAGACCGAUUUUAAUGCGACUGAUGGUAUAUGUGGAAUGGGAGCGUAUCUUUGACAUUUAUCACAUUUUUGGACAUAUGCUGCCGCGUCUUUCUUCAUUGUUGGCCAAUAGUAUCCUUGUGAAUGAGCUCUAUGUGCUAGGGAUCGUCCUCCCGUAUGAUUUCCGCAUAUUCCUUCAUGUAACUCAGCUAACACAUACUGGGCCUCUGAAUGCCCAAGACAGCGAAGAUAAGGCCCUGUGAAGGAUCGCUUGUACAGGUGCCCCCCAAUCAGGGUGAAACGGGCAGCUUGCACCCGGAUUUUGUGCGCUCGUUUAGGAUCUUCGGGUAAAGUUCCUGUCCGGAGAUAUUCUACAAUAUCAUGCGUCCAUUCUUGAUCAUCCGCUUGGUCUGCUUCAAUGGAGUUGCAAGUGGAAUUUUCUGCGACAGAGGGAUUGACUUGUACAUGGAUAGGCAAUAGAAUGGCUUCUCUGAUGGGGAGGGAAGCAGCUAUACCGGCCAAGGCGUCAGCGCGCCCGUUGUCAGCUCGCUUAAUUUUUUCAAUUGUCCACUCGGUGAAUUGCUGUAAGGUGCUUCUUACUUUGGCCAAGUAUCGCGCCAUGCGUGAGUCCUUAGCCUCAUAUUCUUUCUGGACAUGCCUUACCACUAGUUGCGAGUCGCUGUAGAUUCGGAGUUUGGAGACGGAUAGCGCAAGAGCGAGGUCCAAUCCGGACAGGAUGGCCUCGUAUUCUGCUUCAUUGUUAGACGCGGAGAAUCCCAGCCGGAUGGCCUGCUCCAGAUGUUCCCCAGUUGGGGACUGCAAUAAGAGCCCAACUCUAGAGCCUGAUGAGCGUGAGGCUCCGUCAACUCGUAGAGUCCACCACUCCUGUUCACCUGAUUCGUGGUGCUGGUCGGGUCUUCGUGAAUAUUCGAGCACGAAGUCGGCCAUUACUUGGCCUUUUUUGGAUAAUCUGGGUUGGAAUUCGAUUCCAAAUUCGCUCAAUUCGAUGGCCCAUUGUAGCAUUCGCCCAGUUAAAUCUGGCUUGUGUAGAAUGCUACGAAGGGGCUGGUCGGUCAGUACAAUCACUGGGUGGGCUUGAAAAUAGGGGCGGAGCUUUUGAGCAGCACUUCGAAGAGCUAAGGCUGUUAGCUCCAUUUUUGAAUACCUGGUUUCUACAUUUGCCAAAGCUCUGCUGACAUAGUAGACAGGUUUCUGCUCCUUUGGCGAAGGGCAGCGGAAUAGAACGGCGCUGAUUGCCCAUUCUGAGAUAGCUAAAUACAUAUAUAGCUUCUCCUUUGGGAUGGGGCUGCUCAAGAUGGGCGGAUGCAUAAGACAGUGUUUAAUUCUUUCCAACGCGUUUUGGCAAUUGUCCGUCCAUCCCUGCGUUCCAGCUUUUCGUAUUGCUAAGAAGAAGGGUCGCAACUCAUCAGUGAAGCGGGCUAUAAAACGUCCUAACGCAACGAGCUUGCAUGUGAGGCCUUGUAACUCCUUUUUGUUCCUGGGAGGAGGUGUCUCCAUGACUGCUUUGACUUGAUCCGGGCUGACUUCUAUGCCUCUUUGGCUAACCAUAAAUCCCAGAAAUUUGCCAGCACUCACGCCAAAGGCACAUUUGGAAGGAUUUAGCUUCAUGUCAUACUUUCGCAAGAGGUAAAAUACUUCUUGUAAAUGGAGGAUAUGCUGCUCUCGAGUUUUGCUUUUAACCACGAUAUCGUCAAUGUAUACCUCGACCGAGCGGCCUAUCAGAGGUUUGAAGAUUUUAGUCAUCAAUCUUUGAUACGUGGCGCCAGCGUUUUUGAGUCCGAAUGGCAUGACUUUGUAGCAAUAGAGGCCGUGUGGCGUUAUGAAUGCUGUUUUUUCUUCGUCAUCCGGAGACAUGGGAAUUUGGUGAUAGCCGGAGAAGGCAUCCAAGAAAGAGAGCAUCCCUUGCCCGGAAGUGGAAUCCACAAUUUGAUCUAUCCGCGGUAAGGGAAAACUGUCUUUUGGACAUGCAUUAUUGAGAUUGGUGUAAUCAACACAGACUCGCCAUUUGCCCUCUUUCUUUGGUACCACUACUACAUUUGCCAACCAAUCCGGAUAAGAUACCUCUCUGAUGAAUCCGGCUUCCAACAAUUUGUUAAUUUCAUCUUGGAUAACUCUUUGUCUAUCCGGGUGAAAUCGUCUAAUCUUCUGUCGAAUGGGUCUGGCUGCUGGAAAGACGUUAAGCUUGUGAGAGGCGAUAGAGGGAUGAAUUCCCUUCAUAUCCGAAUGUGUUCAUGCGAAGAUGUCAUGGUUACUUCGAAGGAUAUUCUAUAUGCUCUGGGUUUCUUCUUGUGUCAUGAGGGAACUGAUGUUUGUGAGGUGAUCAUUCUCUUCUGAGAUUUGGAUUGUUUGUAAGGGAUCUGCUACCGGGGGAUCCUUGUCCACCAGACCCAAUAAUUGCUAUUGGUCGCGCGCAAUGCUAGGUUCAGGGGGAGAUGCAUCCUCCUGGUUAGCGACUGCUUCACGUGCUAUUUGGUAGCACUGGCGAGCGGCUAACUGGCUGCCAUACAAGUCAGUUUGCCCUUCAUUGGUGAGGAAACUCACCAUUUGAUGAUAUGUGGAGGGGAUGGCUUUCAUGUAGUGAAGCCAUGUGCGUCCCAAGAUGAUAUUGAAGGGUGACAAUUCUUGCACCACCGAGAAUUGCACGUUGAGAGUGACUGGUCCAGCUCGAACCGGCAGUAUAAUGUCUCCUAAGGAUGUUGUUGAUGAUCCGUUGAAUCCAGAUAAGAUUCGUCCGGGGUUUUCGAGACCCGCGAGACUAUGUCCCAUAUGGCCAAUGACUGAUGCUUGUACUAGAUCGGCUGAACUGCCUGGAUCAACCAAGAUACGUCUUACAUCAAAAUCUCCUAUUUCUAGAGAGAGGAUGAGGGCGUCGCGAUGUGGCUGUAGCGUCCGGGUGGGAUCUACUGGUGGGAAAAUGAUUGUCCCAUCUAUGGGGCGAGGGCUCUCUCCAGUAAGACCCGGCCGGAUGGAAUUAAUGCGCUCGCGUAUUGACGCGGCCCGCAGCAAUUUCUGCCUUUUACGCCUGGAAUCGUAUUCCUCGUCAGACGGGCCCCCAUUGAUAUAGUUUAUCACAGCCUUAGGGGCGACUGGGGCCCUCGGGGCCUCAGAGUUAUGAUGCUGAGAUACAUCCCUUCCUCCAGUAUCUGAGCGGAGGUACUGUUUUAAAUGUCCUGCUUUGAUGAGCCUUUCAACUAGAUAUUGGAGGGAUCGACACGUCUCUGUUGUAUGACCAUGGUCUUUGUGGAAGGCGCAUUUCUUGCUGCGGUCUCUUAUGGAUGGGUCCGUUUCGAGGGGUCUAGGCCACCUGAAGUCGGACAACCCUUGGAUCAUUGGGAGAAGUUUUUCGUAUGAUACGGAUAGGGGUGUGACGGGCGGCCUAUUCGGACGACUCGGCCCGUCCUGUCUCCGGUCAACUGGUUUUGGACGGUCCGGAGGCUUGGCAUGCCUGUCCGCGUUAUCUCUAGAAGCCCGUCCGGCAACCAAAACUUGCUGAGUGGCUGCACGCACGUCAUCUUCGAGCAUUGAAUAUUUGUUAGCACGUCUGAACAAAUCGUCCAUCGUUGUAGGAGGCUUUUUUGCCAGUGAUUCAAAAAAUGGAGUGCCUGGACAAAUGCUUCUCUUGAAGAUUUGUAGGACAGCAUUCAUGCUGCAAACCUCUAUUUGGAGUACGACUUGGCCAAAUCGUUUCACAAAUUCCCUCAAGGAUUCGUUGUCUCUCAUUUUUAUGUUCUGGAGGGUGCUGAUAUUCUGCUUGUGUCGAGCAGAGCACAAGUACUGUCCCACGAAUGCUUCAGAGAGGUCCCUGAAAUUGUCAAUAGAGUUAGGAGGUAGGCGAUGAAACCAUGAGAGGGCUUGCCCUUGAAGGCUGGCAGGGAAUACUUUGCAUAAUAAUGCAUCGUUGCCAAUAUCGAGCGUCAUAAGCUGUCGAUAGUGCAUGAUGUGAUUGAAGGGAUCGUUGGUCCCAUCGUAUGUGGAAAACUUUGGUACGAGGAAUCCUCUUGGGGGCUCGUAAUGGGUGAUAUGAGAGCAAAAGGGCGUGGAGAGCAUGUCAUCCAGCCUUUUGCUGAUGAAGCCAAUGGGUGGCUCGUUGGGAGGUUUCUCCCAGCUGGUCGUUCCGCUAGGUGUGAGUGAACGUUCCGCAUCGCUGGGGUGACCAUGGGGUCACGAUGCGGAGGUACGUUCUGCACCAUGGGAGCGAUCAUAGGAUCGGGGCGUGGCGCCCGGGUUGUGGCUGCUGGUGGCCUUGAUCUCCCAGGCUCUUGUGGGCCUAGUCUUGCGCGCAUAGAACUUGACAACUGUGAUUUUCUAUCACGCUGUCUUUUUGCUGAGAAAUGAGUGAAAUCUGAGCUUUCCUCACGAGGAGCUCGAGGCAUGGGUGUGCGUGGCUCAUGGGGCCUUGCGUUGUACGUUCCUGGGAUAGCUCCUGUUGACCCAGGAUAUAUUGAUUCUGGCUCUGGCUUUGAGUUUGCCACCUGGCCUUUUGAGCGCUGACGACGAGGAGGUCCUGAUGUUGAGGCUUGAAUGCGUAACACAGCGUUUUCUUCCCUUAACCUCUCCGUCUCCUAGAGGAGAGCUUUUAGCUGUUUUUCGCUCGCCAACUGUCUUUUUUCGAUGGCUUGACGCCAUUCGUGAUUAUCUUCUUCCUCUCUACCAGAUGAUCGACUUUGGGAAGGUGUGGCCAUCUUUGCUAGUGACUGAAUCAAAAUAAAAAGUAAAAGUUUCCCACAGACGGCGCCAAUGUUGUCACCUCGCGUAUCCGAUGGUCCACGUUGCUGCUAUAUGGAUGGACACGUGAUUCUCAACACACAAGGGGUUCUUGACUCAGUGGUUGCACCUGCAAAAGGCAUCCGGACAGGGUGUCCGGACGCACCCUCCGAUGGUUUUAUUAGUCAUGGUGAGAAAGAGAUAUAUAAAUCAGUUGGCCUUUUUCUAGGUAUCAAGAGGUUACCAGGAGAUCUCCCUUUCUUCUUCGUGCGAAGGUAUAUAUAUCCAGCUUCAGGGGUACUGUUCCUCUCAUUAAUGGUGAGGAGAUCUUUUCUGUUGUGAUGAUGACAAUAGGUGUUAGUAGGAGCACUAUCAUCCUAUGAAUGGCUGUCAGAGACUAUGGUAGGUGAUGCGGCCGUCAGAGAUCGUGGGAAGCGAUUAUGCAGAAUGAUCGUGGGAAGUGACUUGCUGUCACUUCCUCUUGUCUUCUCAUUCUGUAGGUGAUGGGAUGUGGGCCAUGGCUGCUUGUUGUGAUUGCGUGUAAGACUCGCUUUACUUUAAUUGACCAUCCAGAAGAUUUAUAUCCGGAUGGCUCAUGCUGACUAUCCGGAUGUGUUGUGGAGACUAUCCGGAUGUGUACGCUCUGCCAGCGUCGUUUGCUCUUCCUUGGAUAGGAGAAGAUGAAACGUCGUUUGCCUUUCCUUGAGGCGGUCCGGAUAGGAUAACUGCACCAUGCAUAUCCUUAGGGGAAUCCGGAUGAUGAUGGUCCGGCUGAUAACACGUGCCACGCGUCACUAUGAGCUGCGUGCCACGUGUUUCCCAAGGGGAGGGGUCCCUACAGUAUUCAUACACUUUAUGCCUAAAAUGUGACCCACUAUGAAAUACAAGACAACCCUCAGCAAAUCUCUAUUCAUAAUAUGAUCUACAGCUCUACCCACUUUUCUACCUUUUCCUGCUCCUGGGAUGUAAGGAGAGUUUGGAUUGUUUCUGAGGUUCUAGCGUAGACUGGUUGGGGAUUUUGGUGAUAUGAUCCUAUGCCUAUGGCCUCAAUGGGAACUUUCUUUUUUUGGGUUUCUUCUGUGCUUCUCCUUCUUCCUUUGUCUCCUCCUUAAGCAAGUCAUUUUUGCUUGGGGCGGUGCACACAAAGAGCUCAACAGAAUAUCAUGUGGGCCCAAGUGACUUGAGUCCAAAUUGAGUUUGGUCAUUUAGUCCAACCCACUUAGGUCUUAAUUAAUUAAUUAGCUCUAAUGGGCUCAAAUAAAUUAAUUAACCUAAUUCAGAGAGUCAAUUUAUAAGAUUUAGUAUAAUAUUACAUUUUUAGUAAAAAACCUUUAUUGUAUACUUAUGAAUCAUAUACCCAAAAUAUCCUUAAAGCAUGUGCCACCAUGAAAUAGGGCUUUAGUGAGAGCCACUUUUGAAGUUGACUCAACUACACUCAAAAUCUAAUUUUGGCUCCUAUAUUCAACAACUUUCAAAAUGUUGGCUCUUCAAAAUCCAAUUCUAAAGUUAACUUAAUAUUCCAUUUCAUUAAAGAGGGUUAACUUCACUUUAGUAACCUAUGAAAUUACAACGAGACAAAGCUUGAAUUUGUGACCUACUAUCUUGCAUGCAAAUUCCCCAUGAAUUAGUGGUCGUAAUAUAACAAAGUAAUACUAUCACUUAUCAAGAUUAUCUCUCCAAUAUUUAAAUUAGAGAUUUCAGUUAUUAUGUAAUCAACGGAUACACUCUAACUCUAAGGAGUAUAUGCCAAAUUUCACUAAAGGAAUUAUUGCGGCCACAGAUUUUAUGAUCACAUGUCAUUUGAAUUACCCAAGAUGAUACAUUGUCUUAAUUCGAUGAGAUAUCAUGGUGCCUCUAUUAAGAAUACCUAUUGUCACUAGCCUCCAUCAAUAGUGACUCAAUCUUUAGAGAUAUAUGACUACUUUAGGGUCUCAUCUAUUAGUCAAAACCUCCUAUUGAUUUCAAUACAAACUCAAUAUUCCUUCAAGAUUGAAAGUUCAUGCAAUAUAGUAACUUAUUGAAUCAUGACAAUUGAUAACCUUAUGUCAUGAUUCCUAGUAUGUUUAGUCUAGUGUACAUUGCAUACACUAAUGUGCUUACUAUGAGAAAUUCGUUCUGACAAUCAAGACACGUCAUCCCUCCAAUUAGGAGGUAGUGCAUUACAGUUUUUAUUGGAUUACCCAAACCUGUGAAUUAACUAUAGAUAACUUAUCUAUUUACAAGAAACUUAUAACUUGUAUCUUUUGUACAACUCUUAAUGCACCAAAGUCAUGUGCAAUAUAAGAGCUAUAAGUUGAAUGUUCAAAUUAAUAUUAAUACAUGAAACGGAUAGCAAAAGGACAAUUAAGUGUGACUUUAAUACAUCACGUCUUAUUUUUAGGAGUUCAAUCCCAACACAAACUAUGGAGUGCGGGUGACCAUUAUUACUCUCAAGCUUUCAUUUUCCUAUCAAAGGACUUCCGUAGCUAUAAAAGUGUCACGGUAUACUUUCAAUGCUCCACUUCCUGUUCAUCCUACUUUUUUCAAGUUAUGUCAAUCCGUCUUCUAGUCACCAUACAUCACAUGAUUUUUCUUUUGAAAUCAUGGCAAAUAAUGGGUUUUUUCUAUCCCAAUUCCAUCGACAACGCCAAGCGUUGUUACCACUCAACUAUACAAUUUAGAGGGAAUCUUAAUGACAAUUUUUGUUUUUAGGGACAGUUUCUGAAGUGAAAGAUACACCAUUGUUUUUUAAGCUUUAAGCGUUUAGGUUAUGGUUGAACAGUACUAUCAAAUAUGAUUCACAUGAGAGUUGAGACUAAUAUGUGAUUUCCACAAGCUUAUUUGCUUAUAAAUAGUCCCCCAUUACUCAAACUUCCACCACCUCCGAUAUCAGGAUCAAAACUUUUCAGUUUCUGGCCACCCCACAAGCAAAACCUUCCACCAGGACCCAAACCAGGGCUGAUCAUAAGAAACCUAAACCUCAUUGGCCAUCUCCCCCACCGGUCCCUCCACAAAGUGUCCCAAAAAUAUGGACAAAUAAUGCAAGCUUCAAUUCGGGUCUAUCCCAAUGGUAGUGGCCUUGUCUUCAGAAAUGGCAAGGCAGUUCUUAAAGACAAAUUAUCACCUCUUUGCCUCUAGGCCUCAGACUGCUGCUGGCAAGUACACUGCUUAUAACUAUUCCAACAUCAUCUGGGCACCUUUCGGUCCAUAUUGGCGUCAGGAGAGUAAAAUCUACCACACAGAGCUGUUCAACUGGAAAAAGCUCGAGUCUUAUGAAUAUAUUGGGGUCGAAGGAAGGUGGGCUUUCAUCUCCCACCUCUAUGCGUUGUCAGGAAAGCCAGUCAUGCUUAAAGACCAUCUCUCUCGCGUUACUCUCGGCGUUAUAAGCAGAAUUGUACUGCGGGAGAAGUAUUCAAUGAGUCUGAAUCCGGGAGGUCAAUAGUGACGGUGGAAGAGUUCCAAGAGAUGCUGGAUGGGUUGUUCUUGCUUAAUGGUGUGUUGAAUAUUAGGGAUUGGAUACCGCGGAUUGCAUUCUUGGACUUGCAGGGGUAUGUGAAGAGGAUGAAGGCUUUGCGCCAUAAAUUUGAUAGGUUUUAUGAUCAUGUGCUUGAGAAACACAGGGCCAGUUGAGAAGCAGAGGACUUUGUGGCUAAGGAUAUGGUGGAUAUGCUUCUGAGAUUGGUCGAUGAUCCUGAUCUUGAGGUUAAGCUCGGUACUGAUGGGGUCAAAGGGCUUACCCUGGUUAAUGUUAUAUGAGUUAGGAACAUAUCCAGCCAUUCAAAUUAGGCCUAUUCUAUUGAAAUCUCAUGAUAAUUUUGCUUGUUUGGUUGUUUCAUGGUCAGGACCUGAUUGCUGGUGGUACAGAUAGCUCAGCUACUACUAUGGAAUGGGCGAUGUCUGAGAUCUUGAGGUAGCCAAGCACAGCUAAUAAGGCAACUGAAGAGCUGGAUAGAGUCACAGGGAGAGAUAGAUGGGGGGAAGAGAAAGACAUCCCCCAACUUCCUUAAUAUAGAUGCAAUUGUGAAGGAGACAAUGAGGCUACACCCUGUCACUAGCUGUCCUGCUAGCACCUCACCUGGCUCUUCAUGAUUGCAAUGUAGCUGGCUGUGAUAUUCGCAGAGGAACCCAAGUCCUUGUAAACGCAUGGAGCAUAGGACCCCAACAUAUGGGAUGCACCGGAGGAAUUUCGACCAGAGAGGUUCCUAGGGAAGGCAAUUGAUGUGAAGGGGCAAAACUUGAGCUGCUGCCAUUUGGUUCAAGGCGGAGGAUGUGUGCUGGAUACAGGCUUGGCCUAAAGAUGAUUCGAUCAAGCUUGACUAACAUGCUGCAUGGAUUCCACUGGAAAUUGCCUUGGGAUAUGAAGACAGAAGAGCUGAACAUGGAGGAAGGUCCCGCUUGUUGCUGUCAUGGAGCCUAGACUUCCAAGUCAUCUUUACUAGUCGUGCCUUAGACCUAUGUUUUCUUAAUCUUAUUCAGGUUUGUGCUGUGGUUUUACUGAGGUUCUGGCGUAAAGCGGUUUCUGAAUAAAUGGUUUGGGAUUUUGGUGACCUGAUCUUAAGCCUAUGGCCUUGAUGGGAACUUUCUUUUUUCGGUUCCUUCUGUGCUUCUCCUCCUUCCUUUAUCUCCUCCUUAUGCAAGUCAUUUUCACUUUGGACUGUGUACAUAAAGGGCCCAAUAGGAAUAUCUUGGUAGUCCUGGAGAGGCUCCAGGGUCUUAACCACAGUGCUCAUUGUUGGUCUAUGCUUUGGCAUGUGGCUCAUGCACCAGUAAGCCAAUGCAGCAGCCUUUUGAGCCCCUGCUUCUGAGUAUUGGCCUUCAACUCUUGGAUCCAUUAUUCUGGUGAGCUUCCUGGAAUAGUUCAGUUGAGGCCUAGCCCAUUCUGCUAGGUUCUUCUCCCUGUUAGGCCUGGUCUUGUCCAUUGAUCUUCUCCCAGUUAGUAGCUUCAAGAGCACCACUCCAAAGCUGUAAACAUCGCUCAUUGCUGUCAAAUGCCCUGCAAACAAGCAAACUUCUUAUUUGUACUCCAAAGGAAUAUGCCCUUAACAUUCAAUCUAGAUUGGAUUAAACCUUACUGAAUUUCCUGUGAUAAUGUACUCUGGAGCAGCUUACCCUUGUGUCCCCAUGACUCGGGUUGAAACAUGCGUGUCAUCGCCUUCAGGGCCGUCUUUUGCUAAACCAAAAUCUUAUAAUUUGGGAGUAUGAUCCUGAAAAAGGUAUCAACAAAAGGUCAGCGAUCAUAAACAAAGCCAACAAUAAUGCUGAAGUGGAUGAAUUAGAACUCGCCACAGGUAACAGUAUGAUCCCCAUUUUAUAGGCAGCAUGAUACCCAUUUUAUAGCUAACAUGGGAAUUCGUGUUGUUAGGAAUUGGAAGGAACACGAAAGAAAAUCAUCAUUAAUAAGAUUCCUUCUAUUAUUAGCCUGUCAAUGAAACUAAGACAUGUUAUAAGAUCAUAGAUUGUUAGCCCUUGGGGGCUGUCUAACUAUGUUUUGAUGAUAACAACAUAAGAUGAAGUGUACUGAGUUGUUUGAAUUAAGAAAAGUUUCAAGUUUUAUUGAAAAUUUCAAAAGAAAGAUAAAGAUUGUCUAAAAAAAGAUUUGAAGGACACGAAAAAAUGAAUCCUUAAAGAUUUAUAAGGUUUAAGAAAUUUUGUAAGAUGAAUCUCUUGCAUGUGUUUAGGAUUAAACUGAUUUUUAUACACUUUUAAUGCAUUCAUUUAGAUUUAGGCGACAUUUGUUUUUUUAACUUUUUACUGAAAGCAAAUUGCUUUCAGAUUUCAAAUUGUUUAUUUCUUCACUUUUUGUUAAUUUAUUAUUUAUUUAAAAAAAAAUUUUAUUGAAUAGAAAAAGAUAAAAUAUUUGAUUUUUUUUUUUAAAGUUAAAAAUAACAUUGGUUUUUGUUUAUUUUUUAAUACUUAAUAAAAAUGAAAUAUUAAAAAACAAACAACUUGAGUGCAAUUGAAAUCCCAUAUCAAUAUUAAGAUCAAUUUUAAUAAUAUUUAUAAUGUCCAUAUAAUUUUAAAACAUAUUUAUACAAUAAAAAAUGGCCUACUAUAUAUAAUAUGUUAGGAAAAGAAAAUUUUUCUCCACAGAAGUCGAGUUUUACAAAAUCCUACCACAAGUCAAUAAAAAAAGAAAAAUGUUUGACGUAAGUUGAGAUUAGAGUUUGAAAUUACAAGUAAUGCAAGUGUAAAGUUUUCAUUAUGCAUGUUUGUGCAAUUUUCCUUAAAUCUUGAAAGUCACGGAUAACAAAAUAUGACCAUAAUCCACCAAUUCAUACACUAAAAAAUAUCUUCUAUAGAGGGAAUAGUCCUGAACCAUAAAAAAUAUAGAGACAGGCCGGCCAUGGGGUGGGUUCAAUUAUUAUUGAGAUCGCUCAUGGGGUGAAACAAUUUUAUUCUAUGCAACUUGAUUAUUGAGAUGGUGAUGGGGAUAAAAGAAGGUCCACCCUUAAUGUCAGGACAAAGAAGCAUGUUGCCCAUGAUUUUCUGAAAAGCUAAACAUAUUCUAAACAGUACUUCUUGCAAGCCCAAAGACACCAAAGUAGUGCAUCAGAAGAGCUUGGAAAGAGGUGUUGGGUGCUAGGUCAAUUUUUCGAAUAGAUCAAAAGAAAGCUAAAGAUUGUCUAAAAAAGAUUUGAAGGACACCAAAGGAUGAAUCCUUAAAGAUUUAUAAGGUCUAAGAAAUUUUGUAAGAUGAAUCUCUUGCGUGUAUUUAAUAUUAAAUUGAUUUUCAUACAUUUUUAAUGUAUUCAUUUAGACUUAGUUGACGCUUGUUUUUUUAACUUUUUGUUGAAAGCAAAUUACUUUUAGAUUUUAAAUCAUUUAUUUCUUAAAUUUUUUUAUUAAAUAGAAAAUAAUAAAAUAUUUGAUUUUUUCUUAAAGUUAAAAAUAAUAUAUUAGUUUUUAUUUACUUUUUAAUACUUAAUAGAAAUGAAAUAUUUAAAAACAAACAACUUGAGUGCAAUUGAAAUCUCGUAUCAAUAUUAAGAUCAAUUUUAAUACCAUUUAUAAUGUCCAUAUAAUUUUAAAACAUAUUUAUACAAUAAAAAAUGGCAUACUAUAUAUAAUAUGUUAGGAAGAGAAAAUUUUUCUCCAUAGAAGUUGAGUUUCACAAAAUCCUACCACAAGUCAAUAAAAAAAGAAAAAUGUUUGACAUAAGUUGGGAUCAGAGUUUGAAAUUAUAAGUGAUGCAAGUGUAAAGUUUUCAUUAUGCAUGUUUGUACAAUUUUCCUUAAAUCUUGAAAGUUACGGAUAACAAAAUAUGACCAUAAGCCAACAAUUCAUGCACUAAAAAAUAUCUUCUAUAGAGGGAAUAGUCUUGAACCAUAAAAAAUAUAGAGACAGGGCGGACAUGGGCUGGGUUCAAUUAUUAUUGAGAUCGCAGAUGGGAUGAAGCAGUUGUAUUCUAUGCAAACUUGAUUAUUGAGAUGGUGAUGGGGAUAAAAGAAGAUCCACCCUUAAUGUCACGACAAAGGCAUAUUCCAAACAAUACUUCUUGCAAGCCCAAAGACACCAAAGUAGUGCAUCAGAAGAACUUGGAAAGAGGUGUUGGGUGCUAGGUCAAUUUUUCGAAUAGAUUGAAGUAAAAUGUUUGUUUAUGAAAAUUUUUUAAAUACGAAUUGAUAAUGUGAAAGGUACAGUAUUGUUUUAUAUUUAAAUUGAAAGUGUCAAUUUUUUGUUUUUUCUGAUCUCCAUGCAUUACAUAACUCCAUCAGAAAUUCCCGGGGUGAGUAAUAGGAUUUGACGAUAGACUUAAAAAGUCAUCUAUAGACACUUUAUACGUAAUCAUUCUAGAUAACACUUGUAUUCUCUGUAUUACCUGAUAUAAAGUUAAUAGAUGCUCAUUCCUAUAUAUAUAAUGAUAUCUCAAAAGAUUUAAUUUUUUAUUAUAUUUAAUUCUUUUUAUUUUUCUUUAUUGAGUUAUCGAAUUGACUUUAUUUAUUAUUCCACUUUUUAAGAACAAGUGAUAUUGAUGUAAAAGGAUCGGGAUAGAAAUGAUAUUUUGAUUAGAAGCAACUUUGGAAUUGAUUAUUUAGGAUUAUUGACUUAAAGACUAAUGUCAUUUAUAACUUCUACAAUUUUUUAUUUAAAUGUUAUUAUUGAGCUAUUUUAAUUAGUUUUGAAUUUAUUGGUAAUGUAUUAAGCUCUGACAUGUGAAAUGAGUCUGGUACCUUUAGCUUUUGCGUUGGAGACUUUCUAUUGGGUAGGCUUGGCCGAAGUCCCACUCUCAAAUCACUACCAUAAAAGUUGUUUCCUUGUUAGGAGAAAUGUCCAAGAAAAUUGCAGACUGAGGCCCCAUGAACGAGAAAGGAGGUCAAUUAUUGAAGCACUCAUUCAUUUAGUUCUGCUGUGCAACUUCUGUUUAUGCAUCAUCUUUAUAUAAAAGGUUUCAUGGGAGGGCCAAGAGGAGAUACAUAUGAUCAGGCAUGAUAAAAGCAUGGUGUUCCCAUACACUUUAACAUGAUAAACAGGGCAAGGAUUAAUGAGCAUUCUUGUAGUCAUAACAUCAAGAAAUAUCCCCCAAUUGAAAGAGACUAAGGUAGUAUUUAGUUUUUUAACUUAAUACUCAAUGUAAUUUACUUUCAAAAUUUUUAAAUAGAAAAAACAAAAAUAUUUAAUAAUAAUAAAAUAAUAAAAAAUAAAUGAUUUAAUAUUUAAUAGUAUUAAGUUAAAUAAAAUUCCAUUUAAAUUUAAGUAAAAAAGCCAAACACGAAAGUAUUAAACUAUAGUAUCCAAUAUUAGCCUUGGCCAUUAGUUGAGAAGGUUGCUGUUCUCCUCCAUGGAUGCAAUGACAGAUUCUUCUGUGUUAAAUUUAUAAAUGUUUUCUCUCUGCUUUUGUGUCAUCUUGGUGGACACUGGAAGAUCAAGCCAUUUAAGUAAGACAUUUUUAUUGGGUUUUGGUGAGUGAAUGAUAUCUCUGAGUGAUACACCUUUUUUAUUUUUAUUUUUAGCUUUUACCUUAUGUUUAAUUCCUCGAAACUAAGAAGGAAAGCAAUUUUUUUUUUAAAUUAUCUUCUCAUAUUAAUUAUUCUAUAUAAAAUAGGAAAAAAAUCAAAUAUAAUUAAAAUUAAUUAAAAAUUUAUAUAUUUUCAAAUUAUUUAAUCUUAUUUGAAAAGAAUUAAAAAAAAAUAAAAUGAAUUGAAAAUAACAUAUAAAAAUAAUUUAUUAAUAUUAAAUAUAUUUUUAUUUUUUAUUUCCUUCCAUUUUUCUUCUUUACUUUCUUUUUCCCUUCCAAUCAAACAUAAUGUUUUAAGUGUUUAAUAAAAUAUUUAAACUCUUGUAAAUGGUUGAAUAGUACUACCAAAAUGUGAUUCACAUGAGUUCAAUAUAUGCUUUCCACCAGCUUAUUUGCUUAUAAAUAGUCCCCCGUUCCUCAAACUUUCACCACCAUUAAUGGAGGCUCCUUCUUGGGUUGUUUUGGCCCUAGCAUGGCUAGCCUCAGUAGCCCUUCUCUCAAAAGUUUUCAGUUUCCGGCCACCCCACAAGCAAAACCUUCCACCAGGUCCCACACCAUGGCCGAUCAUCGGCAACCUAAACCUCAUUGGCCAUCUCCCCCACCGGUCCCUCCACAAACUGUCCCAAAAAUAUGGACAAAUAAUGGAGCUUCGAUUUGGGUCUUUCCCAGUUGUAGUGGCCUCAUCUUCAGAAAUGGCAAAGCAGUUCUUAAAGACAAACGAUCACCUCUUUGCCUCCAGGCCUCACACUGCUGCCGGCAAGUACAUUACUUAUAACUACUCCAACAUCACCUGGGCUCCUUACGGUCCAUACUGGCGCCAAGGGCGUAAAAUCUUCCUCACAGAGCUGUUCAGCUCGAAAAGGCUCGCGUCUUAUGAGUACAUUCGGGUUGAAGAAAGGCAGGCUUUCAUCUCCCGCCUCUACGCAUUGUCAGGAAAGCCAGUCAUGCUUAAAGAACAUCUCUCUCGCGUUACUCUCGGCGUUAUAAGCAGAAUUGUACUGGGGGAGAAGUACUUCAGUGAGUUCGAAUCCGGGAGGUCGAUGUUGACGGUGGAAGAGUGUCAGAAGAUGCUGGGUGAGUUGUUCUUGCUUAAUGGUGUGUUGAAUAUUGGGGAUUGGAUACCGUGGAUUGCAUUCUUGGACUUGCAGGGGUAUGUGAAGAGGAUGAAGGCUUUGCGCGAUAAAUUUGAUAGGUUUUAUGAUCAUGUGCUUGAGAAACACAGGGCCAGAAGAGAAGCAGAGGACUUUGUGGCUAAGGACAUGGUGGAUAUGCUUCUGAGAUUGGCUGAUGAUCCUGAUGUUGAGGUUAAGCUCACUACUGAUGGGAUCAAAGGGUUUACACAGGUUAGUGUUAUUUGAGUUCAUGAACAUAUCCAACCAUUCAAAUUAGGCCUGUUCUAUUGAAACCUCAUGAUAAUUUUGCUUGUUUUGUUGUUUCAUGGUCAGGACCUAAUAGCUGGUGGUACAGAUACCUCAGCUACUACUCUGGAAUGGGCGAUGUCCGAGGUCUUGAGGCAGCCAAACAUAGCUAAAAAGGCAACUGAAGAGCUGGAUAGAGUUAUAGGGAGAGAUAGAUGGGUGGAGGAGAAAGACAUUGCCCAACUUCCUUACAUAGAUGCAAUUGUGAAGGAGACAAUGAGGCUACACCCUAUUGUUGUCCUGCUGGCACCUCACCUGGCUCUUCAAGAUUGCAAUGUAGCUGGCUAUGAUAUUCGCAGAGGAACCCGAGUCCUAGUAAACACAUGGAGCAUAGGGAGGGACCCCAACAUAUGGGAUGCACCCGAGGAAUUUCGACCAGAGAGGUUCCUAGGGAAGGCAAUUGAUGUGAAGGGACAAAGCUUUGAGCUGCUGCCAUUUGGUUCAGGGCGGAGGAUGUGCCCUGGAUACAGCCUUGGCCUAAAGAUGAUUCAAUCGAGCUUGGCUAACAUGUUGCAUGGAUUCCACUGGAAAUUGCCUUGGGAUAUGAAGACAGAAGAGCUGAACAUGGAGGAAGUUUUUGGACUGACAACUCCAAGGAAGGUCCCACUUGUUGCUGUCAUGGAGCCUAGACUCCAAAACCAUCUUUACUAGUCGUGCCUUAGACCUAUGUUUUUGAAGAUGAUCGGAAAAGUGUCCUUCUAGCUCGAUUGCAUGGGCUGGUUUUUAUAUAACAGGGUUGCCUGGCCAUGUGGUAGGCUGGUCAGUCAUUUUCCUGCCUUUUACAAGAAUACAAAAAUGCCUUUUGACUAAUAGGCAAAGGCAGUCAGCUUUCCAUCAAGCGUUUGGUGUGUUAUUAGUUCACCUCGUCAGGUAUUCUUCUUGGAGGGUAGCACGUUGGGGAUGUACUGCUUUUUGGCACCUCCAGUUUUAUUAAUAUUAUUCAGUUGUGUGUAAUGGUUUUGAUCCGUUAAUUGUAUUUCUUCUGUUCUCUAUCCAUGAAUGCAUUAGUGGCUUGCUUAAUUAAUAACAAACCUUUGAAAAAUGAGGUUACUGAUGUUGUCAAAGGAUACACAUAAUUGUAUUUAGACACAUGGCAGAGUGAUCCCUGUAUAAGAAACAAAAUAAGGAAUAUGGGAGUUUAUAGAGAUACGACACCUCGUACACUACUACAUCUCAUCUUCAUCAACCCUAGACCUUUAUCACCUUUUAACAUGUCGGCAUGCUGCAUGCCACUUCUAAUUUUGUUGGUGAAUAAAGCGUAUGUGAUUCUAUUGGAUGAUUAGCUUCUUAUUGUCAAAAAGGCGCAAAAAAUAUCUUACAGUAAGCAAAAAAGAUUAUCGACAGGCUGCCAUGCAUAUCAUAUGCUUAAAACAUUCUUGUCCUUAUUCAAAUUCAGUCACUUUCCUUAAUCUUUCAUCAAUCUAAUUUCUUCCUUAAGUGCUAUUCCAACAACCCUAUCUUAUCUUAAAUUUAGAGACAUUUAUAUAAUUUGAAAUUUUAAAAAGGCUUUUUUUUAAAAAUAAAUAUUUAUAUAAUUUUAAAAUUUUGUGAGAAAACAAAUGAGAUAUUUUCAUUAUUUUGGUCUUUGCAAUCACCCACUAUCUUUAUUUAUUUCCCAUAUUAUAAAAAAUUGAAAAGAUAAAAUAAAGAAAAUAAAUACAGAAAGUCUUCAAAGAACAGAUUACUUUGUUGUACCAUUUAAAAGUAAGAGUCUAACCUUGAUCCAUCUUUAUAUAUGUAAAUUAAAAUUCUAAAUAUAAUUUAGGUGGUGAUAAAUUUUAUUUCAAAUUUAAAAACUUAGGAGUAUUUACAAAUGUUCAUCAUAAAAUAAAAGAAAAAUAAAAGGAAAGUAAAGAGGCAAGAUGGAGAUGGGGAAAAAAAUUAGGGAAAAUAAUAAUAAUAAUAAUAAUAAUAAUAAUAAUAAUAAUAAUAAUAAUUAAAUAGACAUAGGAAAAUAAUUUUUAGAGUUUUAGUUUAAAUAAAUAAUUGAAAAAAAUGGAUUAUAAAUAUAAUUGAUAAUAAGAGUUUUAUAUAAAUUGGCAAUUUCCUAUAGAUGAAAAUAAUAUUACUUAUAUAGAAAAUUAGGAAUUAGAGUAUUAAUAAUUACAUCAAAGAGAAUAAUAUUAAUGCAAAUGGUAUCAAGAACGUCAAAUACUAAUUUUUAAUUUUUGAUAAAUAGCCGAUUGAAAUAAUUAUUCUUUGAACUAUGUUAUGUUAUGUGUGGAUUAAGUUCUUUAUGAUCAAGUAAUGUUUUUAUGAAAUGUAUUAUGAUUUUAAAUUGGGAAUUUCGAUCAUAUGAUUUAUUGAUCAUUGUGUAAGUGGAUUUUAGUUUAUAAUUUAUUAUAAUGACUUUGAAAUUUUGAUUAUUAGUGGUCUUGCUCAAUAGAGUAUAAAUUAUUAACCUUCGUUACCCUUGAUAGGGGGUAGUGAUGCUAUGCAAUCCUAACCAAUAAGAUGCUAUUAACCUUUGGUAUGCUAUUGAUUGAAUGUUGAUGGGGGAACAAAAUGAAGCUACCCAUCUAGUGCAAAUUCCAUUAUUUGGUUAUAGUGUUAUUAUCAGCGAAAUAGAGUAAAAUAUUUAUUUAUAAAAUCAUUUUGAACAUGAACUUCUACUAUUAAGUGUAUUAUAUUGUUUUAUACUUUUUGAAGUGUCAAUUUUUUUUCAAAAAAAAAAUGUAAACUUAAUUAUUAAAUUAAAUGAGUAGAUUUUUCUUAUUGACUUAUUUUUUCUUAUCGUGUUAAAUAUCGAAUUCACUCUUUUUUUAUAAUUCCACUUUUCAAUUACAAGUGAUGCCAAUGAAGAGAGAUUGUAAUAUAAUUAAGAGUGUUUUUAUUAUAAACAGUUUUGAAAUAGAUAUUGUUUAUGAUUAUUAACUUAAGACUAAUUGUAGUUGUAACUUCUAAAAAUUAAAUUUUAUAGAAUCAUUGAAGUCAUCGUUGAGAUAUUUUAAUUAUUUUUGGUUUUGCUAGUCAACUUAAUUUAUGUAUUAAGUUAUUGGAUUUGACAUGUGAAAUGGCUGUGAUGCUCUUAGCCUUCGGGUUCGAGGUAUCAGAGCCAUUGUCAUCACUUCACGGCCUUCCAACUGGGUAGGCUUGCUCGAAGUCACACCCUCAAAUCACUAGCAUGAAAGCUAGCUUUUACCUUGUUAGGUGAACCGGCUUAGGAAACUGUAAACUGAGAUCCAAUCAAUAAGCAAGAAGUUCAAUUAUUGAAGUUCUUAUUCAUUUGAGUGCUCUUCGACUACUUUAUGUAAAAAAUUUCAUGAAAGGGCCAAGAGGAUAUACAUAUGAUCAGGCAUGGAUGAUGCUUGGUGAUCCCAUACAGUACUCUCACGUGAUAUACGGGCCAAGGAUUAACGAGUAUUCUUGUAGUAAUAACGUUAAGAUAUGAACCCUAAUGGAAAUACUAACUAGAACACGCACGAAAGUAUUAAGCUAUGGUAUCCAUUAGCAUUGGCCAUUAGUUGAAGGUUGCAGUCCUCUAUAGAUCUCCAUUAAUGAUUCUUUUGUGUUAAAUUUAUAAAUGUUUUCUCCAUACUUUUGUGUCAUAUUGGUGGACCCUGGAAGAUCCGUCCUUACAACCAGCCAUAUCAGUAAGACAUUUUUAUUGGGUUUCUGGUAAAUAAAUAUUAGCAUAAAUUGGAAGGCGGUGGCUGUCCAUUUCUGCAGUGAUACACCAUUGUCUUUUUUAAGCUUUUAGUAUUUAAUAAAAUAUUCAAGCUUUUGUAAAUGGUUGAAUAACACUAUCAACAUGUGAUUCACAUGAGUUUAAUAUGUGAUUUCAACCAUGGCCAAUCAUGGGCAACCUAAACCUCAUUGGCCAUCUCCCCCACCGGUCCCUCCACAAACUGUCCCAAAAAUAUGGACAAAUAAUGGAGCUUCGAUUUGGGUCUUUCCCAGUUGUAGUGGCCUCAUCUUCAGAAAUGGAAAAGCAAUUCUUAAAGACAAACGAUCACCUCUUUGCCUCCAGGCCUCACACUGCUGCCGGAAAGUACACUAAUUAUAACUACUCCAACAUCACCUGGGCUCCUUACGGUCCAUACUGGCGCCAAGGGCGUAAAAUCUUCCUCACAGAGAUGUUCAGCUCGAAAAGGCUCGAGUCUUAUGAGUACAUUCGGGUUGAAGAAAGGCAGGCUUUCAUCUCCCGCCUCUACGCAUUGUCAGGAAAGCCAGUCAUGCUUAAAGAACAUCUCUCUCGCGUUACUCUCAGCGUUAUAAGCAGAAUUGUACUGGGGGAGAAGUACUUCAGUGAGUUCGAAUCCGGGAGGUCAAUGGUGACGGUGGAAGAGUGUCAGAAGAUGCUGGUUGAGUUGCUCUUGCUUAAUGGUGUGUUGAAUAUUGGGGAUUGGAUACCGUGGAUCGCAUUCUUGGACUUGCAGGGGUAUGUGAAGAGGAUGAAGGCUUUGCGCCAUAAAUUUGAUAGGUUUUAUGAUCAUGUGCUUGAGAAACACAGGGCCAGGAGAGAAGCAGAGGACUUUGUGGCUAGGACAUGGUGGAUAUGCUUCUGAGAUUGGCUGAUGAUCCUGAUAUUGAGGUUAAGCUCACUACUGAUGGGAUCAAAGGGUUUACACAGGUUAGUGUUAUAUGAGUUCAUGAACAUAUCCAACCAUUCAAAUUAGGCCUAUUCUAUUGAAACCUCGUGAUAAUUUUGCUUGUUUUGUUGUUUCAUGGUCAAGACCUAAUAGCUGGUGGUACAGAUACCUCAGCUACUACUCUGGAAUGGGCGAUGUCCGAGGUCUUGAGGCAGCCAAACAUAGCUAACAAGGCAACCGAAGAGCUGGAUAGAGUUAUAGGGAGAAAUAGAUGGGUGGAAGAGAAAGACAUUCCCCAACUUCCUUACAUAGAUGCAAUUGUGAAGGAGACAAUGAGGCUACACCCUGUUGCUGUCCUGCUUGCCCCUCACCUGGCUCUUCAGGACUGCCAUGUAGCUGGCUAUGAUAUUCGCAAAGGAACCCGAGUCCUAAUAAACACAUGGAGCAUAGGGCGGGACCCCAAUCUAUGGGAUGCACCUGAGGAAUUUUUCCCAGAGAGGUUCCUAGGGAAGGCAAUUGAUGUAAAGGGGCAAAACUUUGAGCUACUGCCAUUUGGUUCAGGGCGGAGGAUGUGUCCUGGCUACAGCCUUGCCCUAAAGAUGAUUGGAUCCAGCUUGGCUAACAUGUUGCAUGGAUUCCACUGGAAAUUGCCUGGAGAUAUGAAGCCAGAAGAGCUGAACAUUGAGGAAGUGUUUGGACUGACAACUCCAAGGAAGGUCCCACUUGUUGCUUUCAUGGAGCCUAGACUCCCAAGUCAUCUUUACUAGUCGUGCCUUAGACCUAUGUUUUCUUAAUAUUAUUCAGUUGUGUGCAAUGGUUUUAGUCUGUUAAUUCUAUUUCUCCUGUUCUCUAUCCAUGAAUGCAUUAGUGGCUUGCUCAAUUGAUAACAAACAUUACAAAAAUGAGGUUACGGUUAACAAAAGAUACACCUAAUGCCAAACUUUUCAAUUGUGUCGAUGGUGUAUAUGUCACUAAUGAUCUCAUUUCUUAGGACUUCAUUUUCUUUUCUCAUGUGGGGGAGGCAGCCAUGAAUCAGUCAGUUGCUUCAUUGUUAAUCAAAGAAAAUGAGGCGAAUUUGAAAGAAUUGAUUCAGAUAGCUAAAAUGUUCUCCUCAUAAGUAUUCAUACACUUUAUGCCUAAAAUGUGACCCACUAUGAAAUACAAGACAACCCUCAGUAAAUCUCUAUUCAUAAUAUGAUCUAUAGUUCUACCCACUUUUCUACCCUUCCUGCUUCUGGGAUGUAGGGAGAGUUUGGAUUGUUUAUGAGAUUCUGGCGUAGAGUGGUUUUGAAUAAGUGGUUGGGGAUUUUGGUGAUAUGAUCCUAUGCCUAUGGCCUCGACGGGAACUUUCUUUUUUGGGUUUCUUCUGUGCUUCUCCUUCUUCCUUUGUCUCCUUCUUAUGCAAGUCAUUUUUGCUUUGGACCGUGCACGCAAAGACCCCAACAGGAAUGUCAUGUGGGCCGAAGUGACUUGAGACUAAAUUGAGUUUGUGUCACUUGGUCCAACCCACUUAAGAUCCUAAUUAAUUAAUUAACUCUAAUGUGCUUAAAUAAAUUAACUAACCUAAUUCAGAAAGUAAGUUUAUAAGAUUUAGUGUAAUAUUACAUUUUUACCAGAAUACCUUUAUUGUACACUUAUGAAUUAUAUACCCAAAAUAUCCUUAAAGCAAGUGCCACAAUGAAACAGGAGCUCAAGUGAGGGCCACUUCUGAAGUUGACUCAACUACACUCAAAAUCCAAUUCUGGCUCCCUAAACUCAACUACUUUCAAAAUAUUGGUUCUUCAAAAUCCAAUUCUGAAGUUAGACUCAACAUUCCAUUCCAUUAAAAAAAGUUAACUACACUCUAGUAUCCUAUGAAAUUACAACGAUACAAAGCUUGAGUGUAUGACCUACUAUCUAUUACAUGCAAACUCCUCAUGAAUUGAUAUUUGUAAUAUAACAAAGAAUUUAGGUAAAGUCUCUAGAAAACUUUGAAUGGAAGAGUUUAAGUGUUGAUAAAUUUUAUUUAAAAUCGAAAAAUUAGGGAUAUGUACAAAUGUUUAGACGAGGUUUAUAUUUAAUAAAAAAUAAUAAAUAAAAAUAAAAAGCCUUUAAAGAACUUUGGUAUGAAGAGUUUAGGUGUUUAUAAAUUUUAUUUCAAAUAAAAAAAAUUAGGAAUAUAUACAAAUAUUUAGACGAGAUUCGUAUUGAAUUGAAAAGAGUACAUAAAAGCGGCAAUUAGCUAAAUGGUUAAUAUGGCUUGUUGCGUGUUUGGGUGUUGAAUGGAUGAAACCACAGACAAAUAAAAGGAAAAUAAAGAGGCAUGGUGGAGAGGAGGAAUAAAUUUUGGGGACAAUAAUAUAAUUAAAUAUACACACAAAUAGAUUUUUGAGAGUUUUAGGUUAGAUAAAUAAUUGAAAAAGGUAUAUUAUUAACGUAUUUGGUAAUGGAGUUGUAUACAAAUUGGGAAUUGCCUCCAUAUUAAAAUAAUAUUAAUGCAAGAGUAUUAAGAAUGCUAAAUAAUAAUUUUAGAUAAAUAGCGCAUCAAAAUUUUUUGAACUAUGUUAUGCCAGGUAAGUUCACUGUGGUCACGUGCUUUAAAAAUUCGACUGACUUUUAUUAUAUAAGAGUUAAUAGUGCAAUAAAUCAUUUUGUAAUUCCUAAUCAAUUUGUAAUUAAAGUAUUAAAAUAUUUAAAUUUUCUAAAGUGGAUCAAUUAAUAAUAUUCUUCUAAAAUGCGAUAUGAUUUGUUCUUUGGUUUUUGAAAUAAAUUAAAAAUAUCAUAUGAUUUAUUGAUUAUUAUGUGAGUGGAUUUUAGUUCUCAAUUUAUUAUAUAUAAUGACUUUGAAACUUUGGUUAUUGGUGGCGGAUAAAUUGUUGAUCUUCACUACCUUUGACGAGGGUAGUAAUGUAGUAUAACCCUAACCAGUAAGGAUGUUAUUAGCCUUGGUACACCAUAUAUUAAAAAUCAUUCCCUCCAUCAAUAAAAUGAAUAAAUUGAGGCUAACUACCUUACGUAAGUCUCACUAUUUGGAUAUAGUGAAUCAAAGUAAAAUAUUUAUUUAUGAAAUUAUUUUGAAUACGAACCAAUAAUGCAAGUGUAUUAUAUUAUUUUAUAUUUAAAUUGAAAGUGCCAAUUUUUUUUUUAAAGAAAUAUAUCUCAAAAGAUUUAAUGUUAUAUUAUAUUUUAGCCUCCUUGUUGAACUCUCCUAGAAAACUGUAGAGUGAGAUCGAAUCAAACGAGCAGGAAUUCAAUUAUUAAAAUACUUAUUCAUUAAUAAUGCAAGUGUAUUAUAUUAUUUUAUAUUUAAAUUGAAAGUGCCAAUUUUUUUUUAAAAGAAAUAUAUCUCAAAAGAUUUAAUGUUAUAUUAUAUUUUAGCCUCCUUGUUGAACUCUCCUAGAAAACUGUAGAGUGAGAUCGAAUCAAACGAGCAAGAAUUCAAUUAUUAAAAUACUUAUUCAUUUGGCUGUAUACAAAAAUUUCAUGGAAGGGCAAAGAAGAUGUAGAUAUGAUCAGGCAUGGAUGAUGGUGUUCCCAUACAGUACUCUCACGUGAUGAACGGGGCAAGGAUUAACUAGAACACAAAAGUAUUAAACUAUACAUACAAGAUCCGUUAGGGUUUUGGCCAUUGGCUGAAGAUUGCAGUCCUGUAUAGAUCUCCAUUGAUUCUUUUGUGAUAAAUUUACAAACGUUUUCUCCAUGCUUUUGUGUCAUUUUGGUGGACCCCGGAAGAUCCAUUAUUAAAACCAGCCAUAUCAGUAAGGAAUGAUAAUAUAUUUUGGAAGGUGGGUGUACGUCUAUUUCUGAAGUGAAAAAGGCACCAUUGUUUUUUAAUGUUUAAGCGUUUAAGUUAUGGUUGAUUAAUAUUAACAAAUACGAUUCACAUGAGAGUUGGGACUAAUAUGUGAUUUCCACAAUCUUAUUUGCUUAUAAAUAGUCCCCCAUUCCUCAAACUUACACCACCACCAUCACCACCAAUGGAGGCUCCUUCUUGUGUAGUUUUGGCCCUGGUGUGGCUAGCUGCAGCAGCCCUUCUCUCAAAACUUUUCAGUUUCCGGCCAGCCCACAAGCAAAACCUUCCACCAGGCCCCAAACCAUGGCGGAUCAUCGGCAACCUAAACCUCAUUGGCCAUCUCCCCCACCUGUCCCUCCACAAACUGUCCCAAAAAUAUGGACAAAUAAUGCAGCUUCAAUUCGGGUCCUUCCCAGUUGUAGUGGCCUCGUCUCCAGAAAUGGCAAGGCAGUUCUUAAAGACAAAUGAUCACCUCUUUGCCUCUAGGCCUCAGACUGCUGCUGGCAAGUACACUGCUUAUAACUACUCCAACAUCACCUGGGCACCUUACGGUCCAUGCUGGCGCCAGGGGCGUAAAAU
Molecule: long non-coding RNA, 32181 nt
Filed under: Vitis vinifera (wine grape)
Lineage: Eukaryota; Viridiplantae; Streptophyta; Magnoliopsida; Vitales; Vitaceae
Description: long non-coding RNA (VVIN_LNC003365)
Source: RNAcentral